UUUACUCGAAGCAGCCUUCAAUCGCUCAACUAGUGAUUGCGGCCCUGCGCCUUCUUCCACAGGGGCUAUGGCGUUCACCAAGUCUUCAGCUGCUACAGUUACCUCCUGGAGUUUGCUUCGGAUUAUGAAAAGUACUCACCUUGAUACUUUUUCUUCAGCGACUUGUAGCGGCUCUCCAGUUUUUGCUGCAGGACUGCAUGAUCCAUACGUUCCACAACAAAAGACUUCACUCCAACCUCG
RNAcentral lists this long non-coding RNA (240 nucleotides) under Setaria italica (foxtail millet). RNAcentral's name for it is "long non-coding RNA (SITA_LNC003144)". Lineage: Eukaryota; Viridiplantae; Streptophyta; Magnoliopsida; Poales; Poaceae. The record is from RNAcentral.